Long non-coding RNA from Cavia porcellus (domestic guinea pig), 1783 nucleotides. RefSeq lists it as uncharacterized. Lineage: Eukaryota; Metazoa; Chordata; Mammalia; Rodentia; Caviidae. The record is from RefSeq and is a predicted model, not a curated record. The transcript has 3 exons.
AGGGGAGAAACCUGUAAAUGUAAGGGUGGACUCCACUGGAACGAAUUUUGUGAAAAUAGUAACACAUGGCUACAUCCUUAGUUGUCACAGAGGAAAACUGCAGAGAGAACUGAUUCUUCAUCGUGUCCCUAGAGAUGCUGAUUUGCCUCUUCAGGGACGGAUUUAUAAGCUGUGUUUCUACCACUAUUAACCCAUCCCAUCCAGUGCAGCUCCUUCCUUUUGAGGCUGGUGGAUACAGUUCCAGGAGUAACCAGUGGUGACGGAUAAACCAGAGAUAGAGCAGGUAGUAUCAAGAACCCUUAAGUACUGAAGACUUUUUGGAGAUGUCUUCCAUCCGUAGCUGGCUCUUGGAUUUUAAGUAUGUGGCAAAAUCCUACCUCUUCCAUUUACCGGAAAUGAGAAAUUUAUGCAUAGUUUGCCUAGCACCUACUUCUUCUGCACUCACCUACAGUAUUUCUUAUAAUCCCAGGCACACUCAGUUUGGGCACAGAAAAACAACUGAUUAGAACAAUUAAAGUACAACAAUGAGUAAGAAGAAUAUCAGACAUAUCCUAGAAAGUGACAAUAGUAAUAACUAUUUGUCACCUGUAACCAUAUGAACAAGAUUUGUAGCUCUAUAACAAAAUCUAAAAUCUGCCCGAAAAAUAUGUUCAGUAAUAUUGCCUCAAUAUGGUCAUAUUACCCUCAAAGGAUAAAUUUUAAGUGCAGCUAAGUGAGAAUACAGAAAUUCAAGAUGAGACAGGUUUAGAAGCAAGACUGGAAGACAAAAGAUUACAAUAAUAAAUACAAAAAUAAUGACAUAACCUCCAUCAGGGCAUAGAAUUAAGGCAUUUGCUUCAUGAUAUCCAAUAACAAUAAUUCUCCCUAAAAAAACCAACUAUUGACAAGAUUUCUUUGUCACUGUUGUUACUGAUAAAAUCACACCAUUAUUUGUACAUUUUCAAGAUUACUUGAUGUAGUUAACUAAGUGUGUCAACAUCAGAAAUGCUGACCAAAAUUGAAAAGGCAUACUUCUAUGUGUAGAACCCACGAUAAGGGAGACUGUUACCAGAAAGAAAUAAAAGAGAAACAAAAAGAAAACAUUCUUUCUCUUCACCAGAACUCCAGUUUUCACUUUCCCAAUGGACAUUAUCUCUUGGCUUCCACUGCAGACUCUUAAUACUAUAGCACAGAUCAUUCAUUCAUCUGGCAAACACAAUUGAUCCUCCUGAUAAGAUCUUGGACAAAACACAGUGUGCUCUGACAUUUCACAAGAAGAUGCCAAUCUCCAGCUGAUGGACAGAGUUUUUGCACUCUUCCACAUCUGUAUGAGAGACUACUGUAUGCCAGUCUUUGAAAUAUAUUUGUAUGCCUUCUAUUAAAGCUGUUUCUCUAUAAUACUGACUGAUACAGAUUUUACUAUUGAGAGUGACUCUAGAGAAGGACCAUUGCAAAAAUCUAGUUCCUUAACUGACUUAGGGAUUCCUGGUGUUGGUUCUCUAAUUUGAUGAGAUCUAAAGACAGCAGUCUGUCUUUCUAGUACUGUGGGGAAUAGUCAUAGUCCUGGCUGUAAAAUGUUUAAAACAAUACGGUAGAUCUAUUUGGCUGUUACAUAUCUAGACUCUCAGGGGAUUAUUUUGCCAUGGAAAGAAAUUUCUCUAUUGAUCAGCUCACUAUUCUUUAGUCUACCAAGUCAUACCUUGGUAUUGCACAGUAACAAUCUAUCAUUAAAAGGAAACUGAUUACAUAAUGGAGACACAGUAGGUCUAAAAGGUACAUGUAAGUUACAAUAAAGAUGUUCCUC